UGUUGAAACACCGGUUCUCUAACGAUCACUGAAGUUAAGCAGCGUCGAGCCUGGUCAGUACCUAUAUGGGUGACCACUCAGGAAUACCAGCUGCUGUAA
Acanthosepion pharaonis is the source of this 99-nucleotide non-coding RNA. Lineage: Eukaryota; Metazoa; Mollusca; Cephalopoda; Sepiida; Sepiidae. The record is from the annotation of a GenBank genome assembly.